This 310-nucleotide ribosomal RNA is filed under the name uncultured bacterium. RNAcentral's name for it is "bacterial SSU rRNA". It matches the Rfam family "Bacterial small subunit ribosomal RNA", at positions 28 to 339 of the family's 1533-position model. The record is from RNAcentral.
GACGAACGCUGGCGGCGUGCUUAACACAUGCAAGUCGAGCGGUAAGGCCCUUUCGGGGGUACACGAGCGGCGAACGGGUGAGUAACACGUGGGUGACCUGCCCUCAGCUCUGGGAUAAGCCUGGGAAACCGGGUCUAAUACUGGAUAUGACUCCAUGACGCAUGUUGUGGGGUGGAAAGCCUUGUGCGGCUGAGGAUGGGCCCGCGGCCUAUCAGCUUGUUGGUGGGGUGAUGGCCUACCAAGGCGACGACGGGUAGCCGGCCUGAGAGGGCGACCGGCCACACUGGGACUGAGACACGGCCCAGACUCC